RNAcentral lists this long non-coding RNA (2051 nucleotides) under Mus musculus (house mouse). RNAcentral's name for it is "RIKEN cDNA 2610307P16 gene". Lineage: Eukaryota; Metazoa; Chordata; Mammalia; Rodentia; Muridae. The record is from RNAcentral.
GGUGAGAGGGAGAAACCUGCCGCGGCUCUCCGCCUCUUUGUCUGCUCUGGGACUUGGAACAAAAGGGGAAACUCUGAUGAACUCCUUCUCCAGCUCCCUGGACGCCCGAGUAUCUCUUUCUCGCAACUUUGUCAACGCGACUUUCUCCGCUGUCAGGCUGCGCAAAAGUAUCCUAGCGCCUCGCAGGCUGCAACAAUGGAAACAAUGUCCCUUCAAAGUGCGACGAAGUGGAGGGAGAAGGUGUCAUACCAGCGACUCCAAGAGUCAUGUCACCCACUUAGCAGGAGUACUUCUACUGAAAUGCCUUCGAAUUUCUCUUACUGGAUAUAUACCUACCAGCCGCUAGCAUGAAGAUGCCAGGACCGCUGCAAGUUAGCACUGGACAAAGUAGCAUCAACUUCUUCAUUUAGAGUUUCUUCAGUUAAAUUGCUGGGAUUUUCGACAAGGCUUUCCUUAUGUGGAUUAUUGGAGUGUGAUGCCCGAGAAUUCUCUACUUGUAGAAGCACGCCCACGGGACUGCAGAAGCCUUCACACCCACCCAGCACGCUCAGAUGGGAAUGAGUGAUGGCCAUCCAGUGACCAGCUGGAUCUGACUGCCUUACAAGACGCAUGUGUAUGAUUAAGAGAGAGACAUUCGUGACUCCCAGAUGUACCUCCUUCCUGUCCCACAGUGUUCCUGAAGGGAGUGAGUUAUGGGGUAACUUAUAACACAGCAGGCUCUUCCUCAAGAUAGCUCUUGUCAAAACAGGAAGACGAAACUCGGGUUUCCAUGAGGAGACCACAGCUUGGGAUCCUGUCUGGAUGUACAAGCAGAAGCAUCUUCAUACUUUUCCAUUUCUAACCAUCAUGCCUCACCCCACCCUCCCAAGGCGACAUCUGCAGAGAGGAGAAUGAGGAGGAAGAGGAGGAGAAAGAGGAGGAGGAAGUAAGACAGAGGGGGACAAGAGGACCAAGAGGGCACAUGGCUGAGGAGGAGGAGAACAACAACAACAACAACAACAACAACAACAACAAGAAGCUUGGUGGUGAAACUUGGAAGCCCUCUCCAGGAUGCAGCAGGUAGCUGAGGAGAAAACGAAGACUGACCAGCCCAGAGCUCAGAGCUUCCUCCCAUGCUCAGGAUUUACCACCAAUGCCAUUACAUCGGCCUCUUCUUGUAUGCCUCUGGAAACCACAUGUGUCCUCUGUUUGUAAUGGUUUGGCUAUGGUUGCUGGCCCCUCUUGGACAUUGUUUUCAGAACUUAAAGAAACAUUGCUUUAAAGAUUUAUUAGAACAUAUUUAAAAUAAAACCAUCUUCUCAUUUAGUAUGCAAUUGAUUCUUCCCAUUUCCUCAGUCAAAACUCAUUGAUCAAAUUUAUUUGAGAAAUCCAGACAUGUAUAUAGCGUAUUGGGGUUAUUCCCAUCCUCCCCCAUAUUCUCUUAUCUCCCUUCCAGCCCUGACGCCCUCAGUCCUCCCUAUGGGCCUAUUCACACAAUCAUGUCUUUUUGUUUUAUGAACCAUUGAUUUUAACCGGGGCCAUCUGUGUUGCCAUGGCUUUAGAAUUAUCUACUGGAACUGGUUGGCUCAAAAUAGACAAAGACUUUCCCUUCCCCCAAGUCCAUCAUAGCUAGGAAUUCAGUCCCUCCGGUCCCCUCCCCAAUUCAUAAUUGACUGUUAGAAAGCCUAGUUUAAUGCAGGCCCUGUGUAGGUACCCAUAGCUACUGUGAGGUCACACCUGAAGAUGUGAAGCCCUUUUCCCUGUCUUCCAUUUCCACUUCUGUGUUCCCUGAGCCCUAGAUGGGAUAGUAUGAAUGUUCUGAUAAUCCGACCAAGUGGUAGUAUAUGUGUUCACUUAGAUAAAACAAAGACAAUACCAAUAGGAAAUGUAUUAUAAGCCCUGCACAUGCUAAAAAUAUAUGUAGCAAAUAACAUUAUUAUAUAAAUUCAGGGUCAUUGCUCUAUGUCAAUGUCAGUGACGUAUCAGUUUCAAAGGAUUUAUAUCACUGUUAAGUUAGAAAUAAUCCACUCUUGCUUGUUGUACAGUGCAUUUGUCCAGAUAGCCUACAAAAA